AUCAUGACUAGGUCGGUUGUCAGGACUUCUAAAUACAUUACCACUAUCAUGACUAGGUCAGUUGUCAGGACUUCUAAAUGCAUUACCACAAUCAUGACUAGGUCGGUUGUCAGGACUUCUAAAUACAUUACCACAAUCAUGACUAGGUCGGUUGUCAGGACUUCUAAAUGCAUUACCACAAUCAUGACUAGGUCGGUUGGUGGGACUUCUAAAUACAUUACCACAAUCAUGUCUAGGUCGGUUGUCAGGACUUCUAAAUACAUUACCACAAUCAUGUCUAGGUCGGUUGUCAGGACUUCUAAAUACAUUACCACUAUCAUGACUAGGUCGGUUGUCAGGACUUCUAAAUACAUUACCACAAUCAUGUCUAGGUCGGUUGUCAGGACUUCUAAAUACAUUACCACAAUCAUGACUAGGUCGGUUGUCAGGACUUCUAAAUGCAUUACCACAAUCAUGACUAGGUCGGUUGGCAGGACUUCUAAA
Molecule: long non-coding RNA, 483 nt
Organism: Oncorhynchus tshawytscha (Chinook salmon)
Lineage: Eukaryota; Metazoa; Chordata; Actinopteri; Salmoniformes; Salmonidae
Source: Ensembl